ACCCCACGAAAAGACCAUCUCAGUUCGGAUUGCAGCCUGCAACUCGGCUGCAUGAAGCUGGAAUCGCUAGUAAUCGCAGAUCAGAAUGCUGCGGUGAAUACGUUCCCGGGUCUUGUACACACCGCCCGUCACACCAUGGGAGUUGGAAAUGCCCGAAGUCAGUGACCGAACCGAAAGGAAGGAGCUGCCGAAGGUGGAGCCGAUGACUGGGGUGAAGUCGUAACAAGGUAUC
RNAcentral lists this ribosomal RNA (232 nucleotides) under uncultured bacterium. RNAcentral describes it as "partial 16S ribosomal RNA". It matches the Rfam family "Bacterial small subunit ribosomal RNA", at positions 1269 to 1500 of the family's 1533-position model. The record is from RNAcentral.